This 492-nucleotide ribosomal RNA is filed under the name uncultured bacterium. Its description in RNAcentral is "partial 16S ribosomal RNA". It matches the Rfam family "Bacterial small subunit ribosomal RNA", at positions 29 to 507 of the family's 1533-position model. The record is from RNAcentral.
AGUGAACGCUGGCGGUAGGCCUAACACAUGCAAGUCGAACGGCAGCACAGUAAGAGCUUGCUCUUACGGGUGGCGAGUGGCGGACGGGUGAGGAAUACAUCGGAAUCUACUUUUUCGUGGGGGAUAACGUAGGGAAACUUACGCUAAUACCGCAUACGACCUACGUGUGAAAGCAGGGGAUCUUCGGACCUUGCGCGAUUGAAUGAGCCGAUGUCGGAUUAGCUAGUUGGCGGGGUAAAGGCCCACCAAGGCGACGAUCCGUAGCUGGUCUGAGAGGAGGAUCAGCAACACUGGAACUGAGACACGGUCCAGACUCCUACGGGAGGCAGCAGUGGGGAAUAUUGGACAAUGGGCGCAAGCCUGAUCCAGCCAUACCGCGUGGGUGAAGAAGGCCUUCGGGUUGUAAAGCCCUUUUGUUGGGAAAGAAAAGCAGCAGGUUAAUACCCCGCUGUUCUGACGGUACCCAAAGAAUAAGCACCGGCUAACUUCGUG